AGUUUGAUCAUGGCUCAGGAUGAACGCUAGCGGCAGGCCUAACACAUGCAAGUCGAACGGUAACAGGAAUUAGCUUGCUAAUUUGCUGACGAGUGGCGCACGGGUGCGUAACGCGUAUACAAUCUACCUUUUGCUGAGGGAUAGCCCAGAGAAAUUUGGAUUAAUACCUCAUAGUAUUAUUGAUAGGCAUCUAUUAAUAAUUAAAGGUUACGGCAAAAGAUGAGUAUGCGUCCCAUUAGCUAGUUGGCGAGGUAACGGCUCACCAAGGCAACGAUGGGUAGGGGUCCUGAGAGGGAGAUCCCCCACACUGGUACUGAGACACGGACCAGACUCCUACGGGAGGCAGCAGUGAGGAAUAUUGGACAAUGGGCGAGAGCCUGAUCCAGCCAUGCCGCGUGCAGGAAGACUGCCCUAUGGGUUGUAAACUGCUUUUAUACAGGAAGAAUAAGCCUUACGUGUAAGGUGAUGACGGUACUGUAAGAAUAAGGACCGGCUAACUCCGUGCCAGCAGCCGCGGUAAUACGGAGGGUCCGAGCGUUAUCCGGAAUUAUUGGGUUUAAAGGGUCCGUAGGCGGAUGAUUAAGUCAGGGGUGAAAGUUUGCAGCUCAACUGUAAAAUUGCCUUUGAUACUGGUUAUCUUGAGUUGUAUUGAAGUAGGCGGAAUAUGUAGUGUAGCGGUGAAAUGCAUAGAUAUUACAUAGAACACCAAUUGCGAAGGCAGCUUACUAAGUACUAACUGACGCUGAUGGACGAAAGCGUGGGUAGCGAACAGGAUUAGAUACCCUGGUAGUCCACGCCGUAAACGAUGGAUACUAGCUGUUCGGGGCCUUGAGCUCUGAGCGGCUAAGCGAAAGUGAUAAGUAUCCCACCUGGGGAGUACGUUCGCAAGAAUGAAACUCAAAGGAAUUGACGGGGGCCCGCACAAGCGGUG
RNAcentral lists this ribosomal RNA (931 nucleotides) under uncultured bacterium. Its description in RNAcentral is "bacterial SSU rRNA". It matches the Rfam family "Bacterial small subunit ribosomal RNA", at positions 10 to 934 of the family's 1533-position model. The record is from RNAcentral.